This is a long non-coding RNA of Hyaena hyaena (striped hyena), 801 nucleotides long. RefSeq lists it as uncharacterized. The record is from RefSeq and is a predicted model, not a curated record. NCBI's taxonomy places the organism in Eukaryota, Metazoa, Chordata, Mammalia, Carnivora, Hyaenidae. The transcript is spliced from 4 exons.
CCUAUGAACCAUGAGAUCAUGGCCUGAGUCGAAGUUGGACACUUAACCGACUGAGCCAUCCAGGAGCCCCAGCAUGGUUCUAUAUGACUUAAACAUAGUAACCAGGGAGGAGUCCCUGGUUUAGAUUCCCCCUCUUAGUUUCAUAAGUGCCACAUCCCAGGAGAUGAGGAGGAAUCAUGUGUGAAUGUUCAAAAGUCAUUCUGUAUGUUAAGUUUUCCAGGACUAGUCCAGGCACUUAUAUUGCCAUUCAUUCUAACAGAAUUUUACUGUGGCUGAGUUUUCAGUUGUGCUCAAGACACUGUGUUCUUGACUUCACUGGUAAUAUAUUAAGUCUCAGACUUCAGAUGGAGGCUCAUCAGAAAGCUUACUUUUGUUUACUAACAACUUACUUUGUUUUAAUAACAUCUUAUUUAGAAAGAUCUCACCUGCAUUCCUCUUUCCUCAACCGAUCGAUUAGGACCAAACAACUCUACCUAUCAUAGUGUCCAAGUUGUUUCAGGAACGUCCUGCCCUAGGAAGGAUCUGGUUUCCAGCCAACAGAAUAAUGGAGAUUCCUCUGGUGCUGUGGCUUGUCUGUCACAGGGUCCUUCAAAAUUGCCUACACCUCCUGUGUGCACUUAGCUUAAACAAAACCAAAGAUGUGAUAUUAUGGCAUCUGUCCAGGGGGACACCUGGCUCCAGCUGGAUUAUUCACAGCAGCCUGCUCCCCUCCUGGCAAGUAUGGAGGUUCAGUGAUGAGUGUAAGGCCCAAGUGGACAUCCUUCCUGGAUUUCUGUGUAGUGUGUGCAAUGGCACCUGGGU